Long non-coding RNA from Fukomys damarensis (Damara mole-rat), 429 nucleotides. RefSeq lists it as uncharacterized. Lineage: Eukaryota; Metazoa; Chordata; Mammalia; Rodentia; Bathyergidae. The record is from RefSeq and is a predicted model, not a curated record. The transcript has 4 exons.
AGGAAUUUUUCUAGUUGGAACACCCCUUCAGCCAUGGCUCUUCAUUUGAGAAACAUGGAUGAAGAAUUGCAUUGUGAGUUUUUCCAUGUCAUCUUCACCUGGAGAAGCAAAGCAGAGCCAUUUGCAGAUCAGUUGUGAAGCUUUUUCUCCUUUGCAAGUUCAUCAUUUCAAGCACAGAAGCUGCAAGAUUUCUUGAAAACACUGAGGACACAUGGAAGCACAUCAGCAAGUGUGACUGGCUAAGUCACAGCUGACAUUGCCAUAGGAAGAUUGGACGUGUGGGGUGGAUUAUAGAAUGUGUCUGAUCAUGGUGCACCCUCAUAACCAAUGCAUGUGAUGGUGAAGAGCAGGUGAUGAGUUGUAAACGUGUGUUUCCUCUUAACUGUGGAGAUGAGACGGAUUGGCACAGGAGACUUUAGAAAAAAGAAA